This is a long non-coding RNA of Crotalus tigris (Tiger rattlesnake), 866 nucleotides long. RefSeq lists it as uncharacterized. The transcript is spliced from 2 exons. Lineage: Eukaryota; Metazoa; Chordata; Lepidosauria; Squamata; Viperidae. The record is from RefSeq and is a predicted model, not a curated record.
GCGGCCGGGGGCUGAGCGCUGGCGGAGAGGAGCCCCGGUGGAGGAGGGUGAGCCGCUGCCAGGGGCGGUCGGUGGCCCAGAAGAGGCGCCUGCCGGAGCCCCCUGGCCAGACUUCGCUCUUUCCCGGCCGAUCAGCAGCCUUCCCCCCGCGGUCCAGACUCGCUGCGGAGACCAAGACUGACGCGGAGCGCAACCAAUCCGAAAGCGCAACGCCCCGGCGCAGGCUAUAAUAAGAACAGCCUAUCGGAAACUUAGGGCAAGGCUCGAUGGAAACCUUCGCUCUUCGUCUCUCUCCCUCUCCCUCUCCCCCCCCCCACCCCCCUUCCCCGAACCCCUUCCCUCCAGUCAAAUUUUCAAGCUACGCGUUGCAAGUCAGCAAAGGGAAAACGGGAAAAACCAGGGACGGGGAGGAAAUCCGUCGACGAGGCAACCUUCUUAUUACCUAAAAGCUUUCCACCUGGAAGCCGCAGAAGAAAAAGCUUUUCUCCUGCCUUUAUUUCGGAGAUGCCUGCAAGGGCUCUUGGAGCCGCUCGGCAAACCCCAAUCUGGGAGGCGACGGUCUUCACACCGCUCCCUGAGCACACAAAGGACCUUUCCCCUUAGAUUAAAAGAAAGCAGGUAUCCCCGGGGGAGAAACGCAGCCUGGAGAAUUUUUUUUUUUUUUGCGGUAACCUCGGACCUUUGUUUCAGUGACUGCAGAAGAAGAACUACACUUUUUAGAAGAAGCAGCCGAAGUGAGCGAAAAGGAGGCGACCGCAGAAGCGCAGAGAAGCUUCUUAACCACUUAGGACCCAGUCUGUGAUUCGCGGCUGUCAAUUGUUAUUACACUGAAUACACAACGUAAUAAAUGUCCCCGAUUAACGGUU